UUAAAAUAUUACAAAUAUUUAAACUUUAUAAGAAGUUUACAUAUUAUAAAUAUUUAAAUAUAUAAUAAUACGGGACGGUAUACUACGGGUGAAAUCCUAGAUAUAACAAUCAAAAUACAAUUAUAAAGUUUGGAUCGAUAUAAAAUUUUUUAGGUGAUUUUCUAAAGUACCAUUUUCUACUACCCUUUUGCAAUAAUACCCUUUUUUGUUGGCCAUUUUUAAAGACACCCUUUUUCUUGAACAAUAGUUCGAAAUUAUACAUUACCUAAUGAGAACAUAUAAUUAGAAACUGAAAUUUUUUCGUCAAAAAUUGUUUCCCGCCAAAAAAAUAAAAUUUCGUCAAAAAUGCAUUUAUAAAUCCUUGUAAAAUUUUUAAAAACCCUUUGAAACCUCUUAUAAAUCCUUUAAAACUCUUUAAAAAUCUUUGUACAAGUUUUAAAAAGCUUUGUAAAGUUGUUAAAAACCUAGGGGUGUCAAAUAGGUCAAAAUUCAUGGGUCAACUCAACCCAUGAACCCUAAUGAGUUGAAAUUUUUGACUCAAAUGAGUUGAUGGGUCAAAUGAGUUGAUGAGUCAAUUGGUUUGAUGAGUAAAAUGAGUUGGGUUGUAAUGGUUAAUGGUUUCAAUGGGUUACCCAAUUAACCCAUCAAGUUUUGUAAAAUUGAAUUAAACCAACUAAAAUCUCUAAACCAAUGCCAAUUUAAGUUUAACCAACACAUCUAAACCAAUUUAAUAAAAUUAAUAUUUUUCCAAAUUUCUUAAAUAUACAAGCGAUGAAAUUGAGAAAAAGUAAACUCGUAAUUUUUCCACAAAAAAACAUAAACCCGUGAUUUUCCCGCCAAAAACGUAAACCCGUGAUUUUCCCGCUAAAAACGUAAACCCGUGAUUUUCCCGCCAAAAACUUUAACACGUGAUUUUCCCGCCAAAAACGUAAAACCGUAAUUUUCCCACCAAAAACGUAAACCUAUAAUUUCCGCCAAAAACGUAAAUCCGUGAUUUUCCCGCCAAAACGUAAAUCCGUGAUUUUUCCACCAAAAACGUAAAUCCGUAAUUUUCCCGCCAAAAACGUAAACCGGUAAUUUUCCCGCCAAAAACGUAAACCUAUAAUUUUCCCGCCAAAAACGUAAACCCGUGAUUUUCCCGCCAAAAACGUAAACCAAUAAAAAGUGGAAUCCGUAAAUAUCCUAAGUUUGAUGAUAAUGAAUUAAUAAUGAUAAUUAUUUAUUAUUGUUUUAUAAUAAUAAUUAAUUAAAUUAUUACUUAAAUGGGUUAACCCAUUUAACAACUCAGUCCAUCAAAUUAAAUGAGUUAUGGUUGACCCAACUCAUUUAACAAAAUGAGUUGGGUCAACCAUAACUCAUUUAACCCUAAACUCAUUUGAUUAUGAGUUGAGUUGAGUUGGGUUACCCAUUUUGACAUCCCUAUAAAAACCCUUGUGAAUUUGCUAGUUUGA
Molecule: small RNA, 1451 nt
Filed under: Arabidopsis thaliana (thale cress)
Lineage: Eukaryota; Viridiplantae; Streptophyta; Magnoliopsida; Brassicales; Brassicaceae
Description: ATSL210980
Rfam family: MIR405 microRNA precursor family (bases 1268-1387)
Source: RNAcentral